RNAcentral lists this ribosomal RNA (445 nucleotides) under uncultured bacterium. RNAcentral's name for it is "bacterial SSU rRNA". It matches the Rfam family "Bacterial small subunit ribosomal RNA", at positions 354 to 796 of the family's 1533-position model. The record is from RNAcentral.
GUAAGGAAUAUUGGUCAAUGGAGGGAACUCUGAACCAGCCAUGCCGCGUGAAGGAUGACGGCCCUCUGGGUUGUAAACUUCUUUUGGAUGGGGCGAAAAAACGGGAUUUAUCCUGGACUGACGGUACCAUCAGAAUAAGCACCGGCUAACUCCGUGCCAGCAGCCGCGGUAAUACGGAGGGUGCAAGCGUUAUCCGGAAUCACUGGGUUUAAAGGGUGCGUAGGCGGUUGUAUAAGUCAGGGGUGAAAGGAUGCAGCUUAACUGUAUAAUUGCCUUUGAUACUGUAUGACUUGAAUAAGGUUGAGGUUGGCGGAAUGUGACAUGUAGCGGUGAAAUGCUUAGAUAUGUCAUGGAACACCGAUUGCGAAGGCAGCUGACUGGGCCUUUAUUGACGCUGAGGCACGAAAGCGUGGGUAGCGAACAGGAUUAGAAACCCUAGUAGUCC